ACUGUCAGCGCAGAGCCCCAUGAAAGGCUCCAACUCAAGAACCGUGAGAUCAAGACCCGAGCCGAGAUCAAGAGUCGGAAGCUUAACCGACUGAGCUACCCAGGCGUCUUGUGUUUUGUUUUCACCUUAAAGAGUCGGCUUACAUCCAGCAUGUACGAUAGAGAGAAGAGAUCGUGAGGAGAAAAAGACACAGUGGGAUGGUAGACGGCAGGUUGCCCCUGGCAGGCCGGGUGGAGCAGGCAGCUGUGCAGGGCUCCUGCCUGCCAGCUUCUUUCACAUCACGAGAAGCAAAUGGCCCCCAGGUGAAGGAUGGAAGAAGCAGCUGAGAAAUCUUCCUGUCAUAUUUGGGUUUAUUUCCCUGCCGCCUGAGUAAGCUUUCAGUAACCUUGGUCUUUCGAUUCAACUAUUUUGAUGGAAAGAAAUAACGAUCACGGCAACUGUGGCUGAUGGAUGUUAAGAGCUGGACCUUACCCUUUCAGGGGAAGACUGCUUGAGAAUGGACUUGAGGACAAAGGUGUUACAAAGCAUGGCACCGGAAGCUAUGUGUUUGCUGACUCGACUUACCUUAUUAACAAGAUCAUUUCACGUUUUAUGUGAACAUAAACAAAACUUCCUAGGUAAUCUUUGAAGGUGUUGGAUGCUGUGGUAGCCACCACUGUGGCAAAAGGGCAGUGUUGAAGUGUAAUCAAUCUCCCAGAUAAUAAUAUUUUACCGAUCAAUAACUUAUUGUACUUACAGGUUUGCCCCGUCAUAUAAAAAUAUAUUUAUAAAAAGUAUCACCCGGACUUUAAAUUAGUAGACUGACUGUUGCUUUAAUCAUCUUUUAUCUUCUACAUGUGUGAACCUAAAAGAUUGAUGGUGUUUUAAUUAUGUCUACAUCACAUCUGAUUUCACAAUAACUUAUGGAGAAACCUAUUUUUGAUAGUAAUGAAAAAGGAUUUCAUAUACAGUUGCAUACAUGGAACUUAACUAGUUUUUUAAACCAGGUAUGUAGAGCUACUUUCUGGGAUAGGAAUCAUAAAUGGGUUUCAUCCGAGCACGAACUGGGCAGUUCACGGAAGUGGCAUCCUGAGAAAGCUGGUCUGGGCUCAGCAAACGUGUGUGCGAGAUGAAUUAGUGAUGUCUGCCAUGGAAGGACAAGGUCCUGGUGCCAUCUGUGUGCCAUCUCUGCCGUGGGAGGAAAGGGAAAAUACUGAAAUAUGUAGCAAAUGUGUAUUUCACUAUGCAUAAAGAUGCAUAAAGAAUUCCUCUGAUGACACAGUUUUUGCCAGAGCAAAGACUCAAUCGAUAACUUCAAAUAGUGUUACAUUUCAGAGCAUUAUUAAAAAUACUUAAUGCAUAUCUGGGUGUCUAAAAGAGUAAGGAUUAUUCAUUUUUCUCAACAUGUUACAAUUGUUAUGUGAAAUUCUGGAAAUUAAGUCUGUCAUCAUUAUGGUAGUGAAUAUCAGUCAGAAUCUUCCAAUUAUGUAAGCAACUCACAAAUGAGUCUUUUUCCUUGAAUUCCAUCAGCUCUGAGGUACACUGCAGCCUGAUUAUUUUCAUUAAUAUAGUUUUCAUCACACUCAAAGAAAAUGCCAUUGUUUGGUGAUUAUGACGCCCAUAGGGAAGUCAUAAAGUCUGUCAUAUUCCUAAGUUCCAUCUAACAGUAUCAGUGAGGAUACAACUCUAGCAUAGUCAUUUAUUUCCUGUUAAAGAUAAUAUCAAUGGAAAAGCAAAGUGGGGUUAUCCCCCUGGAGAGACCAUGAGUUUAAGAUGAUUAAUGUUGUAAAGAAAUAGCUUUCUUAUGAAUAAAUGGCCUUUUCAUCA
This is a long non-coding RNA of Felis catus (domestic cat), 1806 nucleotides long. RefSeq lists it as uncharacterized. The transcript has 2 exons. The record is from RefSeq and is a predicted model, not a curated record. NCBI's taxonomy places the organism in Eukaryota, Metazoa, Chordata, Mammalia, Carnivora, Felidae.